This is a long non-coding RNA of Girardinichthys multiradiatus, 1273 nucleotides long. RefSeq lists it as uncharacterized. NCBI's taxonomy places the organism in Eukaryota, Metazoa, Chordata, Actinopteri, Cyprinodontiformes, Goodeidae. The transcript is spliced from 4 exons. The record is from RefSeq and is a predicted model, not a curated record.
GUGUUCACCUGGACAACAGACUAGAGUGGAGAUGCAACUGUGAAGCCAGAAAUUGCAGAGGCAGACAAUAUUUCAAAAUACCAUAUUUUUUUUAUCUCUGACAUAAUGAUUUUCUUAUUUUUUGUUUUUACAGGUCCGUGUGAGGAUGCAUUGGAAGUGCAAAUACUGUAUACAUGAAGUUCAACAGGAUUGUUGGCAAGAACCUCAAGCAGGAAAUCUAUGAGAGCAUCGAUCGCCACAGUCCUCGUCUUAUAAGAGAGGGAAUGUUGGCCAAAAGCUGACACAGCUUUUGGCUAACAGACCAAGACUGCAGAGCCAACUGCUAUUGGGACACUAGUUCUCAGAGUGCUUCCUCUUAUCCUUGGAGACAACCCCUCAGACAUCUACAAACAAGGCUCUGACUCGGAUGAUGAUGACUCAUUCCGCAACAUUGACAUUGGGAUCUUCCUCGUUGAACCUGAAGGUGCUGUCCCAUUAUCCUCCCUGCAUCUCAGUCCAGCUUCAUUGAAGAUCAUCAAUGAAGGAGAAGUGGUGAUGGACAACAUUCAAGUCUUGCCAAAAGCUAUGUGCGUUCUCUUUGGACUUUCAUACACAAUGCAUCUCAACUACCCCAGGUCUAUGAAGCUCACGUUCCAGUUUAUCCAACAGGUACUUCUAGAGCUGGGCCACAGUGAAAUUAAACCAAAGUUACAAACAUUGAAAAACCAGCUCGCGAUGUAAAGCGAUGUUGUCUUGUGUGUUGUGUUACACCUGCAAGUUCUGCCACAGCUUUUACUGUUUAAGAAAGUUUAUAAUGUUAAGUUUACAAUGUUAUGAGAGACAUGAAUGUGCAGCCAUUUGUGGUGUAUACAGUACCAGAUGUAGAGGCGUAUGCUCAGGACUACAUAGUAAUACUCAGUUGAUAUAAUACAGUUAAAGGAAAAUUUUGUACUUUUUAUGUAAAUGUCCAUUGAGUUGAAGCUGUAAAUUCGACUGUGUGGUCGAUUGACCAAAACGUUUUCCUGCUCAUGGGGCUGUGCAGUAGUGCCUUCAUAAAUCCACAUCUGUGGCAGAGGGCAAUCUAGAAAUGUAUGUUGAAAUAACAUGUAGUCAUGUUUCCUUAACAGAAACACAACUAUAUAUUUUGCAAAAUAAGUUUUCUCAAACAAUUUAGCAGCACAGGGAUUUAUUGCUUGUUGACUACAUUUACUAAGACUAUAUAUUCACAUAGAACGUGCAAAAUCUUCCCUUUAACACAGUUAAUUUGUCCUUUUUCAAGUUGAAAAUUUAGAAG